GACGAACGCUGGCGGCGUGCCUAAUACAUGCCAGUAGAACGCUGAAGGAGGAGCUUGCUUCUCCGGAUGAGUUGCGAACGGGUGAGUAACGCGUAGGUAACCUGCCUGGUAGCGGGGGAUAACUAUUGGAAACGAUAGCUAAUACCGCAUAACAGUAGAUGUUGCAUGACAUUUGCUUAAAAGGUGCAAUUGCAUCACUACCAGAUGGACCUGCGUUGUAUUAGCUAGUUGGUGAGGUAACGGCUCACCAAGGCGACGAUACAUAGCCGACCUGAGAGGGGGGUCGGCCAAACUGGGACUGAGACACGGCCCAGACUCCUACGGGAGGCAGCAGGAGGGAAUCUUCGGCAAUGGACGGAAGGCUGACCGAGCAACGCCGCGUGAGGGAAGAAGGGUUUCGGAUCGGAAAGCUCGGUUGUAAGAGAAGAACGAGUGUGGGAGUGGAAAGUUCACACUGUGACGGUAUCUUACCAGAAAGGGACGGCUAACUACGUG
RNAcentral lists this ribosomal RNA (495 nucleotides) under uncultured bacterium. Its description in RNAcentral is "partial 16S ribosomal RNA". It matches the Rfam family "Bacterial small subunit ribosomal RNA", at positions 28 to 507 of the family's 1533-position model. The record is from RNAcentral.